CACGUAGUUAGCCGGAGCUUAUUCUUCAGGUACCGUCAUUGACUUCUUCCCUGACUAAAGAACUUUACAAUCCGAAGACCUUCUUCAUUCACGCGGCAUUGCUGGGUCAGAGUUUCCUCCACUGCCCAAUAUUCCCCACUGCUGCCUCCCGUAGGAGUCUGGGCCGUAUCUCAGUCCCAAUGUGGCCGAUCACCCUCUCAGGUCGGCUACGCAUCGUCGCCUUGGUGGGCCGUUACCUCACCAACUAGCUAAUGCGACGCGAGUCCAUCUCAUACCAGGUUGCCCCUUUUACCCUCUACCAUGCGGUAGUGUGGUCUUAUACCGUAUUAACCGAAGUUUCCCUCGGGUAUCCCGUUGUAUGAGGCAGGUUACUCACGCGUUACUCACCCGUUCGCCACUAGGAUAUUGCUAUCCCCCGUUGACUUGCAUGUGUUAGGCAUGCCGCCAGCGUUGUCCUGAGCACGGAGUCAAACGUACUACUGAGACGUGUCCGAAGGCCGACACCGAAGGGGA
RNAcentral lists this ribosomal RNA (513 nucleotides) under uncultured Bacillota bacterium. RNAcentral's name for it is "uncultured Firmicutes bacterium partial 16S ribosomal RNA". Lineage: Bacteria; Bacillati; Bacillota. The record is from RNAcentral.